AUGAUACAUGGGCCCCUGGGGGGAGAUGUAAGAAAAAUUACCAAUUAGACCCUUAGUCCCAGUGUUAUAUUUGGUUAUUUACUAAAAUCUCCUUUUGGUGGAGAAGGGUGGAUUGUUAGUGCAGAUGAUUUAGAAGAUAUAAUUGGUGGGCAUGUAUGGUUGGGUUUUAUUUGUGUAUUUGGCGGAAUUUGGCAUAUUUUAACCAAACCCUUCGCAUGGGCUCGUCGUGCAUUUGUAUGGUCUGGAGAAGCUUACUUGUCUUAUAGUUUAGCUGCUUUAUCUGUCUUUGGUUUUAUCGCUUGUUGUUUUGUAUGGUUCAAUAAUACAGCUUAUCCGAGUGAGUUUUAUAGCCUACUUACUACGUGUUUUCCUCUAUUGGCAAAUACGCAUAUACUGACCUACUCGCAUGCAUAUCUUGCAUAA
Molecule: ribosomal RNA, 423 nt
Filed under: Triticum aestivum (bread wheat)
Lineage: Eukaryota; Viridiplantae; Streptophyta; Magnoliopsida; Poales; Poaceae
Description: partial small subunit ribosomal RNA
Source: RNAcentral